This 428-nucleotide ribosomal RNA is filed under the name uncultured eukaryote. Its description in RNAcentral is "bacterial SSU rRNA". It matches the Rfam family "Eukaryotic small subunit ribosomal RNA", at positions 592 to 1018 of the family's 1831-position model. The record is from RNAcentral.
CAAUAGCGUAUAUUAAAGUUGUUGCAGUUAAAAAGCUCGUAGUUGGAUUUCUGGUGGGGCUGUCGGCCUGGCUCCGAAAGGGGUCGUGGUUAGUACACGCCUGGCCAUCCUCGGGGGAAGCUUUGCUGGCAUUAAGUUGUCGGCGGAGUGACGCUCGCCGUUUACUGUGAACAAAUUAGAGUGUUCAAAGCAGGCUUAGGCCGUUGAAUACAUUAGCAUGGAAUAAUGAGAUAGGACUUUGGUGGUCUAUUUUGUUGGUUUGCACGCCGAAGUAAUGAUUAAUAGGGAUAGUUGGGGGUGCUAGUAUUGGCCGGCCAGAGGUGAAAUUCUUGGAUUCGGUCAAGACUAACUUAUGCGAAAGCAUUCACCAAGGAUGUCUUCUUUAAUCAAGAACGAAAGUUGGGGGAUCGAAGAUGAUUAGAUACCGU